Phlebotomus papatasi is the source of this 294-nucleotide long non-coding RNA. RefSeq lists it as uncharacterized. The record is from RefSeq and is a predicted model, not a curated record. NCBI's taxonomy places the organism in Eukaryota, Metazoa, Arthropoda, Insecta, Diptera, Psychodidae. The transcript is spliced from 3 exons.
CCUCUUUCAACUCAAAUAUAAAAAACAGUUGGCCUCUGACCAAUGUCCAGAAAAGUGCUCCCACAGAGAUAUCCCAAAAUUCCCUGUGUACCCUCAUUAGGAGUAGUGGAGAUGUUCUUAAAGACAAUUUUCAGAGACAAUAUCACAGUUUGACCACUGAGGAAGGCGCACUGCAGCGUCGAAAGCUUUGGCAAAGAAUCCUGUGUUUUUCGUGUCCCUGAAAAGAGAAACACUACUGACGCCCCCGGAAGGAGGUGAUCUCCCUGAAUCUUUAAAAUUCUACAUAACGUCAGU